Molecule: ribosomal RNA, 361 nt
Filed under: uncultured bacterium
Lineage: Bacteria
Description: bacterial SSU rRNA
Rfam family: Bacterial small subunit ribosomal RNA
Source: RNAcentral
AACGAACGCUGGCGGCAGGCCUAAUACAUGCAAGUCGAGCGCUCUAGCAAUAGAGAGCGGCGCACGGGUGCGUAACGCGUGGGAAUGUACCUCUAGGUGCGGAACAACGUCGGGAAACUGACGCUAAUACCGCAUAAUAUCUCCGGAUCAAAGAUUUAUCGCCUAGGGAUCAGCCCGCGUUGGAUUAGCUAGUUGGUGAGGUAAUGGCUCACCAAGGCGACGAUCCAUAGCUGGUCUGAGAGGAUGAUCAGCCACACUGGGACUGAGACGCGGCCCAGACUCCUACGGGAGGCAGCAGUAAGGAAUAUUGGACAAUGGAGGAAACUCUGAUCCAGCCAUGCCGCGUGAGUGAAGAAGGCCU